Molecule: ribosomal RNA, 398 nt
Filed under: uncultured bacterium
Lineage: Bacteria
Description: bacterial SSU rRNA
Rfam family: Bacterial small subunit ribosomal RNA
Source: RNAcentral
GGGAAUAUUGGACAAUGGGCGAAAGCCUGAUCCAGCAAUGCCGCGUGAGUGAUGAAGGCCUUAGGGUUGUAAAGCUCUUUUACCCGGGAUGAUAAUGACAGUACCGGGAGAAUAAGCCCCGGCUAACUCCGUGCCAGCAGCCGCGGUAAUACGGAGGGGGCUAGCGUUGUUCGGAAUUACUGGGCGUAAAGCGCGCGUAGGCGGCUUUGUAAGUCAGGGGUGAAAGCCCAGAGCUCAACUCUGGAAUAGCCUUUGAGACUGCAUCGCUUGAAUCCAGGAGAGGUGAGUGGAAUUCCGAGUGUAGAGGUGAAAUUCGUAGAUAUUCGGAAGAACACCAGUGGCGAAGGCGGCUCACUGGACUGGUAUUGACGCUGAGGUGCGAAAGCGUGGGGAGCAAA